CACGAAAUUUAGCUUAAAUAAAGCAUCUCCCUUACACUGAGAAAAUAUUUGAUAAAACCAAAUUAUUUCGA
This 71-nucleotide transfer RNA is filed under the name Frostius erythrophthalmus. RNAcentral's name for it is "tRNA-Val". It matches the Rfam family "tRNA". From Rfam's summary of the family: Transfer RNA (tRNA) molecules are approximately 80 nucleotides in length. Their secondary structure includes four short double-helical elements and three loops (D, anti-codon, and T loops). The record is from RNAcentral. Lineage: Eukaryota; Metazoa; Chordata; Amphibia; Anura; Bufonidae.